Molecule: long non-coding RNA, 1063 nt
Organism: Eurytemora carolleeae
Lineage: Eukaryota; Metazoa; Arthropoda; Copepoda; Calanoida; Temoridae
Exons: 2
Source: RefSeq, a predicted model, not a curated record
ACCGUUUCAAAGAAAAAAAGUGAUGAAAAAAGUAUAAUGAAGUUUGAUUAUGUCGCUACCAUAUUGUUUAAUGCCGCAACUAAUUAUACAUGUUUAGGUGGUCCGCGCCUUGCCACGUGUCCAAGGAAACAGGUUUUUAAUAAGGAGACGGGGCAUUGCGGAGAUCCAGGAGAGGUCCCAGGAUGUGAAAACUACUGGGUGGAGAAGCUGAAAGAUACUGAGAAGGAUUAUUAUUACGAGGAAUACUACAACUAAACAAGUCAAAAAUAAUAAACGAGUCUACUCGGUUAAAUAUCAGACUUAUUACGAAUAUAAUUUAGUUUGACAAAACAGAUUUUCACAUAUUAAUUUGCUUUUUGAAUAAUCAAGCACAAAAAUCAUAUUUUUAUGUUUUAAACUAUCCAAUAGAAAAAAAUACAAAUUUGUUGAAUGUAAAAAAAAAAACAAUGAAGAAUUAAUUUUUUACCCUGAACCAUUGUAUAAUCUUUUUGUAUUCAACUUAUUUGUCUGUCGUGUAUUGUUUCUGCCUAAUUAGUCUGUAACAAUGCCCCCCUCGGUCCAUCCCAAACACUUUCCUAGUCACACUUUUUCUUUGUUGUAUAUUUCUAACAUUUGUCGGAGCUUGAAAUAUUUGAUACUGAACACGAUUUAUCAAAUCUUUCAGUUUUUUACUCUGUGAUAUUAAAUCCAUCAAGGCAGAAAGAAAAAGAUGCAUAAAGUACCUGGUUCCAUCUUUUUUAUGGCUUACAUCCGGCCUCUUUCAAGCAGAAGAUAAAUUGAGGAAUUCGAAAUAAAAAUGCUAAAAUAUAAUUGUCAUUUGACAAUUUGACCCAGAUAAUUUUACCAUCAUUAUAACAAUUGUUACAGAAAAAAUGAUAAAUUUCAUCAAAAAUCAUUUUGUAUUUUGUGCUCAUUACAAAAUCUAGUAUGCUCAAGAAAAGAUUGUUUAGGUACUUUAGUGCAUUUAGUUUUUCUGCAGUACCAUGGUACAUAUCCAAUAUAUGCUUGUAUGUACAUUUGAAUAUGUAAGUUUUAUGUACUCUGAAAUAAAUUUUCAUUGUUA